Molecule: long non-coding RNA, 341 nt
Organism: Dendroctonus ponderosae (mountain pine beetle)
Lineage: Eukaryota; Metazoa; Arthropoda; Insecta; Coleoptera; Curculionidae
Exons: 2
Source: RefSeq, a predicted model, not a curated record
UAAAGGAAGUAAUUUCGCAAUGAUGCUUCACGCAGCUGGGCUGAGAUGGCGCAACUAGUGUCUGUGUCUAAAACAUGCUUAGACUUGCUGUAGUGAUUUCUAGUCAAGUGUUUUAGUGCGAUUAUUCAAAAAUAUGCUCCCUGUAUGGUAUUUCUGAGUAUAUUUUGAGUCGCGUAUAUUUGAGGCGUAUUUGGUUCCAGGACGUGCGCGGCAGCCCCAAGCAGCCAAUGGGAUUUUUGCGACAUAAGUUGGUGCAUGUUAAAGUAUCGGUAGUCGCAAGCUUUUUGGCAGUGACGCAAUCAUUGUCCAGCGAGCAAACAGGAAACUUCAUGUUAUUAUAA